Molecule: ribosomal RNA, 397 nt
Filed under: uncultured bacterium
Lineage: Bacteria
Description: bacterial SSU rRNA
Rfam family: Bacterial small subunit ribosomal RNA
Source: RNAcentral
GUGAGUAAAGUAUCGGAACGUGCCCAGUCGUGGGGGAUAACGCAGCGAAAGUUGUGCUAAUACCGCAUACGAUCUAUGGAUGAAAGCGGGGGAUCGCAAGACCUCGCGCGAUUGGAGCGGCCGAUAUCAGAUUAGCUAGUUGGUGAGGUAAAGGCUCACCAAGGCGACGAUCUGUAGCUGGUCUGAGAGGACGACCAGCCACACUGGGACUGAGACACGGCCCAGACUCCUACGGGAGGCAGCAGUGGGGAAUUUUGGACAAUGGGCGCAAGCCUGAUCCAGCAAUGCCGCGUGCAGGAUGAAGGCCUUCGGGUUGUAAACUGCUUUUGUACGGAGCGAAAAGGCUCUCUCUAAUACAGGGGGCUCAUGACGGUACCGUAAGAAUAAGCACCGGCUA